Molecule: unclassified non-coding RNA, 229 nt
Filed under: plant metagenome
Description: partial contains small subunit ribosomal RNA, internal transcribed spacer 1, and 5.8S ribosomal RNA
Source: RNAcentral
UCUCCGUAGGUGAACCUGCGGAGGGAUCAUUACAGAGUUCAUGCCCUACCGGGUAGAUCUCCCACCCUAUGUUAUUAUUACUUUGUUGCUUUGGCGGGCCGUUAGGCUCCGGCCCGACUACCGGCCCCGGCUGGUAAGCGCCCGCCAGAGGACCCAAAACCCUGAAUAUUAGUGUCGUCUGAGUACUAUAUAAUUGUUAAAACUUUCAACAACGGAUCUCUUGGUUCUG